RNAcentral lists this transfer RNA (548 nucleotides) under Bradyrhizobium sp. S2.88. RNAcentral's name for it is "partial 16S-23S ribosomal RNA intergenic spacer". The stretch from base 66 to 138 matches the Rfam family "tRNA". Lineage: Bacteria; Pseudomonadati; Pseudomonadota; Alphaproteobacteria; Hyphomicrobiales; Nitrobacteraceae. The record is from RNAcentral.
GGUCGGAAGUUCAAGUCUUCCCAGGCCCACCACACUCAUCGAGUGAGCAUUCGUCUUCUGGUUACGGGGCCAUAGCUCAGCUGGGAGAGCGCGUGCUUUGCAAGCAUGAGGUCGUCGGUUCGAUCCCGUCUGGCUCCACCAGAUGGUUUGAUCACCGAGAUCGUGCACCGUCGUCCGCGAAACAUCACUUCGCAUCCUGCUAGUCUGGAUAGACAGCAAGAUGCGUGUUUUCUGACAUCGUAAAGAGGAGAUCGAUCCGAGUUGGGUCGUGUAGCAGAUUGCUGCGCGGGCCUUCAUUAUCUCCGGAUCAUUUUCGGCGCUCGCGCGCCUUUCAAGUGUGGCUCACAAGGCUGCAUCUGAAGGGAAUGCGAGUUGUAAAAUGAUCCUUUUAGCGAAGCUUGACCGCCUCGCUAUCGGAACGAUCUUACGAAGCAAGCUGGUCUUUCUAAUCAUUGUCCGGCUGUACGUAGCGUUCAUCGAGGGCGCGUGCCGUAAGGCAAUCGUACAGACAACAUUCUGCCGAGUGUGUGGACAUUGAUAAUGAGAGC